UACGAAGGGGGGCUAGCGUUGUUCGGAAUUACUGGGCGUAAAGCGCACGUAGGCGGAUACUUAAGUCAGGGGUGAAAUCCCGGGGCUCAACCCCGGAACAGCCUUUGAUACUGGGUAUCUCGAGUCCGGAAGAGGUGAGUGGAAUUCCGAGUGUAGAGGUGAAAUUCGUAGAUAUUCGGAGGAACACCAGUGGCGAAGGCGGCUCACUGGUCCAUUACUGACGCUGAGGUGCGAAAGCGUGGGGAGCAAACAGG
Molecule: ribosomal RNA, 254 nt
Filed under: uncultured bacterium
Lineage: Bacteria
Description: partial 16S ribosomal RNA
Rfam family: Bacterial small subunit ribosomal RNA
Source: RNAcentral